UACGAAAGGUGCAAACGUUGUCCGGAAUUACUGGGCGUAAAGAGCAUGUAGGCGGAGUGAUAAGUCGCGUAUGAAAGAUCAGGGCUUAACCCUGGGAACGUGCGCGAAACUGUCAUUCUCGAGGUAGGCAGAGGUGCGUGGAACAUUCGGUGAAGGGGUGACAUCCGUUGAUAUCGAAUGGAACACCAAAGGCGAAAGCAGCGCACUGGGCCUUAUCUGACGCUGAGAUGCGAAAGCGUGGGGAGCGAUCGGG
This 253-nucleotide unclassified non-coding RNA is filed under the name uncultured Candidatus Berkelbacteria bacterium. RNAcentral's name for it is "contains 16S-23S intergenic spacer region". It matches the Rfam family "Bacterial small subunit ribosomal RNA", at positions 524 to 776 of the family's 1533-position model. Lineage: Bacteria; Candidatus Berkelbacteria. The record is from RNAcentral.